CAUCGGGUUAUAACAUUUAGCAAGAACAAGGUUCAAGAAACAUGCCUUCUCAAUCAUCUGGUCUCUUUUAUGGAAAAAGAGAGUUGAUGGGAAUGGGUGGAGUAGGUACAAAGAAAAUAGGUAUGUUUUUUUUGCCUAGCUAAUUGAAAUAUAUAAAUCCCCUUACCAUUGUAGUAGUGAUGUUGGUUUUAAAAUGACCAAUUAUGAUAGGAAGUCUCUUUUCAGUUUAUCUUAAUCAAAUAUAUAUCUAUACAAGAGGAUUUCGUGAUUCUAGAUGAUGAUUCUUGAUGAGGAUGUUAAUGUCAACGUUAUGAGGAUGUUGAUGUUAACGUUGACUCUAGCGAUGACGACUGAUGAUAUUGAUAAUAUGUUGAUGCACUCAAAUUAAGUCAAAGCACUUAGAAUUGAAGGAAAUUUAGAGUUGAAGACAUACUAUUGAGCAUAGUGUCUAAUUCUUUUAGUUACACAAAUCUUUGGUCACUUCACAGUUCACACAUGAUUUUUCAAACAAUGGUGUGUAAUAUGAUUCAUCUACUAGAGCUCUCUUCUUUUUCAUCUCUCUAAACCCUAAUUUUAUCUGUGGA
This is a long non-coding RNA of Cornus florida, 584 nucleotides long. RefSeq lists it as uncharacterized. Lineage: Eukaryota; Viridiplantae; Streptophyta; Magnoliopsida; Cornales; Cornaceae. The transcript is spliced from 2 exons. The record is from RefSeq and is a predicted model, not a curated record.